CUCACUAAAAACAGAACUUACUUACAGAAGCCUCUUUUAAUUUCCACCCCCUCUAGAUUUUCUCUCUAACUGGUUUUCCUUAGAUCUCUCACAAUGACCUUUAAUCUUAUGCUUUUGUUCUGUUUGGUUGCAGUGAUCAACAAUGUUGUUGUUCCAACUAGUGCAAGACAACUCAUGAGUACCACCACUACUUCACCAGACGAGAAAGAAGUGAUGAUGAAUAUUGGCACUGCAAAUAGAGGGCAUGAUGAAAAACAUGAUCAUCAAGUACAAGUAGAUGAUCCAACAAGCAAGAACUAUAACGUGGAAAAGAAAGAAGAAAGAUUUGACAAAAACCAAAUCAUCCCUCCCAUUCUUCCAUUCCCAUUUGGUUUUCCAUUUCCACGUCCUUCUUUUCCAUUUCCACGUGCUGCUUUUCCAUUUCCACGUUUUCCACUUCCAACACCAUUCGUUCCAGGGCUUCCAUGGCCAAUAAGCCCUGAUGCGGUUUCUUCAUUUCCGUAUCCUCCUGUAGACAUGCCUGCUUCUCCUUACCUUCAUACAACACCUUCAUCUCCACCUAACUAAACAUGUUUCCAUGUGAUGCAUGGGGGUGAUAUCCAUUUGCAUGCUAUGUUAGGGUUUUUACUUAAUUAAAGUUGUGUGAUUGUGUAUGUGUUUAAGCAUGUUAUCAUAAGUAUAUGUGUUUAAAUAAAACAGCUAUGAUAAAUAAAAAUAAGUUUGUAUGGUUUAGCUAGGUUGCUAUAGUAAGCUAGGUUUAGGAUUACCUUCCUUUAAAUGCUUACUAGCUAUCAUGGUUCUUGUACUUCUUCUUUUUAGUAUGUCUAAUAAAAUGAUGUUAUAGUUUAUUACUUUUCGGUGAGUUGUGAUUUCAAAACGUCUCUCGUAAAUUUUUUAGAUUGUUGAAAUUAUACUUGCUGGCGAAACUUGCAUGUCACAUGUGUGUGAUGACAUCUUUAAAACUUUGAAUUUGGAAAUAUUAAUUUCUCUAUAGAGACGUGAUUGAGGAGGAAACAAAAAUCCUAUUAAGAUAAUUUGAGAUGGAAAUGUAAAUCACACUUCUUGUCCUCUCUGAAUAUUCAAAAUAACAAAUCAAUUUUAAUUUUUUAUAUAGAGUUUUAAUUUUAUUAUUAAUAACAAAGAGAUCGAGAUCUUAUUAUAUAGUGUAAUGAUAGUAUUCCAAACUCUAUACACGUUACAAGAAUAUAAUAUAACAGAAACAAUACCUCUCUUAAUCUUUUUACACAACCAUUAUGUUUCCAAACACCAAGUAAUGAAUGUUGCUGGUCUAGAACCCAAACGAUAUGUCAAUAGCUUCACCCUUUCUAAGAUCCCUUUAAGAGUAAGUGCAGAAUAAAUGAAACAGUUGUUCUUCAGCUGCAGGACCACUAAGACCAAAUUAUUGCAUGUAUUAAACACAUAGAUCCACUUAUAGCAAUCAUACCAUAAUCUAGCUAGAAGAAAUUUCAAACUGCAGAAGCAAAUGUUCCAUAUCUUCCACUUUUUUGACGUAAAUAUAUAUAUCUUCCAUGUUUGUUUAAUUAACCAAAAAAAAAUAUCACAUUCGUUACUGAUAAUACCUUGGAAUAUAUGAAUAUUAUCUUGGAUUUUUGUUCUGCCUCCAUAUAUAUAUAAAUGUACCUUUUAUUGCUUUUAGCCACGCAUCUUUUAUAACACUCGGUUUAAAACUUGUUAAUUAGAAAUUAAAACUCAUACAUUUAGUUAAUAAUAGAAAAUGUGUAUAAAUUAAAAUAUUUUGUUAAAAAGCAUACUAUUAAUAUUUCUCUUAGGAUGAAUUUGAUUCUCUAAAAAAUAAGAGAUUGGACAACACAAAAAUAUUUGUAAGUUUGAUUUAAAGAAUAACUGAGAUAUAAUACAAAAUAAAGAAUGAUGGAUUGGACAAAUACCCAAAAACUUAUAACUCACUAAAUCUCAUACAGUUUUUUUUUCAAUGUCUAACAAAAGUAAAAAUACAAUAUUAUCCAUAUUUUUUAACUUUUUAUUAUAUCACACAUUUUUUCUUUUUCCAUGUCUUUUUCUUUAAACCUCCCUUUCCAAACGUCGUACAUUGGCCACCGGUGAGGGCCACCUUGGUCAUCGGUGUGGGCACCUUGGACGCUAAUGAGGGUUGUAUGGACAAAUGUUGUUUUUUUUCUCUCAUUAUUUCUUUCUUUUCAUUCUUAAUUUAUUUAAAUGUUCUCAUCAUCUUCUUCCUUGCUAUGUUUUUUUUUUUUCUUUUGGCCAAAUCUGGCAAGGCCGCAUUGUGCCGCCAUGCCGUCGCCACCACCGCUAUGACCCUAUGACUGCGUCGCAUUGUCAGGUCCUACGCCUGGUGGCGUCAGGGACUGCACCUUUCCCGUGAAGGUGUUUCUCCUUUAUUGCGUUGUCAAGGCGCUGUUAAUGCACCUAGGUUUUUAUAGUAAAAUUUAUAUUAUUUUAUCUAGUACACAAGUACAUUAAAUAAGAUACAACACAAAAAUACCUGUACUAUACAUCAACCACCAAACAACAUAUAAUAUAAAAAGUUGUUUUGUGACUCAACUACUUAUCCAAUAUUAUUUUAUGUGUCCUGUCAUUUUAACAAAUCAAAAUCAUCCUUAACUUUUCAAAAUACAUAUUUUAUGAUGUCAGGAACCCAAGGGAUUUGUGAGAAAUUGAAGAAUAUAGCGAUGAAAGAUAAAAAAAAAAAUCUUGAGGCAGAGAACAGAAACAGGAACAAGAAUAAUGGAGAUUGGAGAAGUAGGGACAGAAAGAGCAGGGAGAUACUCCCACCCUGCACUGCAUGCAUGGGUGCUAUUCUUACACGUGUUAAUAGAUACAUUUAAGUGAUGACUUUGACUUAUAUUAGUUUUUUCUUUUUUUUUACAGAAUGACUUAUAUUAGUUAGAAAUGAUAUGAUUCAUGAAUACCAAAGGGUGGCCACAAAAACACUUUCUUAGGCUAAAAAAUGGUUAAUUUGCUUUAGUACACAAGUAUUACAUAUAUAUUAUAUGGAACAAUCUUAUUCGAGUUGAGGGAAUUAGUCUUAUGAUCAGUAAAAUUUUCCUUAAAAAUAUUUAACGCAGCUAUAUCGCCUUAUACUCUCGUUUACUAUAGGUUUAUUUGCCGAAAAAAAAUGUAUACAAGAUUUGAAUUUGAUAUCACUGGUAACAUGCAUGAAAAAUCUCAUAAAUUUUUUUCCUCUAAAUAUUUAGCAUUAUAAGAUUUAAAUUUGAUAUCAAUAAUAAGAUGAAAUAAUCUCAUUCAAUCAAUCUACGCAUUUAAUUAGUUUGUUUGGUUAAGACAUAUAAAAGAUAAACUAAUGUGAUGAUUUUUUUUUUUCAACGCGAGUUGCAUUGAGUGCAACUGUUCUCAAACACAUCCUUAGAAAUUAAAAGAAUAAUAUUGUUAAUUAUUAAUUUGAUCCACGGGAAAAAAUAAAAAUGACUAUUGUUGGGUAAUAUUUAGUAUAAAAUUUCCUUCUUAAAACAGGGUUUUCAUUCUGGAGGUUCAAAAUCGGACUAAACGCUUAAAUUCUCAUUUUUCUUUUCAAUUUUUUUUUAUCAUGAUGAAUUUAGAAUAUAAAAUAAAAGUUUAACGGUAUUUUUUUUAAACAAUUUGAUAGAAUCACAGGUUGCAAGAUUAGAGUUACUGAGUUUGAAAAGAAAAAAAUAUGAGAUUUUCUUCUUAAUUUUGAACGAUGUAUGAUUAAAACAAUUUAAUGUGUCCAAUUUUUGGUGAUUUUGUUUAGUUUAGGGGGAAAGUCGAUGAAGAAAUCAAACUUAUUCAGUUUUAAAAAUAGAUACUUAAUAAACUCCAAAAAUAAAUUGAGGGAUCAAAAUUGCAUGGAACCCAAAUUAAAAAGACCAAAAAUAUAAUUAAAUCAAGAUAAAUAUUUUAAUAAUGACUCAUCUUAUAAUCAGAAAAACAUAUAAUGGUACACAGAUAUGAUAUAUGCCAUUGAAAACAAGAGUUAUAGUAAUACUCAUAAUCAAGUAACAAUAUGGAACAAAGGAAAUUGCUGAUUAAUAAAAAUGGAACAAAGGAAAUUACUAAAGAUUUUGCAAGCAAUAACAAUUAUCCCAAUUGCGGUCUAAGAUUCCUACUAUUACAUUAAUGGAGCAGUUUUAUUAAUUGUGUUUGAACUUCAAGGGUUUGCAUUUUCUCCAUGUGGAAUCGGACGAGUCAAGCCUAAAGAGGAAGAUCCUGAAGGGUUAGAAGGCAACAAAGGCAUGGUAGAUGGUGUAAUUGGCAUGAAUGGAAGAGAGGGUAAAGGAGGCAAUUUGGGGAGAGGUGGAAACCCUGGAAGUGAAAAUGCUGGUGUAAUUGGUUGUGGGAAAGAUGGUAUUGGAGGCAGUGUUGGUGACAAAGGGUUGGGAACAAAAUUUGGGUUUGGGAAUAGUGGCGCAAAUGAAGGUAACUCUGUUACCAAAUGCUCUUUUGUUAGCUUGUUUUCAUCUAAAAAUAAGCGACUUGCAAAUGAAAAUUGGAUGUUGCUGGGGAGUAGCGCAAGACCAAGGAUGAUUAGUUGAAGGUGGGUGGAAUUGAAAGUCAUCAUGUGGUGGAGGGUUUAAGUUUAAAACUGAGAUAGAAGAGUCAAAGGAAUUGAGAUAUAUAGGUGAUGAAGAGUACAUGCAGGCAAUUGUCUUUUAGAAUAUAUAUAUAUAUAUAUAGAAAUGUGGGGGUGGGGGGUACGUAAAAGGUGGUUGUGCGUUUCAGCUUCAUUUCAUGGUAUUUCUACUUGGUACCUAACUUUUGGGUCGUCCUAAAGUAUGAAUUUGACUUCAAACAUCAAAAUAAUUUAGUUCGAUGAUAGUAAGUUUGAGUUAAUUUAUGGGAUUGAUUUAUAUUUUUAUUGGUUUGUGUAGGUUCUUUUUAACAAGUAGUGGAAGCACCUACAAGCUAAUUGCUUGUGUCCUAUCUUAUGCUUUUUUUUUCUACGGAGUGUCCUAUCUUAUACUUUAUAAUAAAAAUGAAGCAUUAAUACACAGGAACAAUGGCAAAAAAAAAAAAAAUCACAUAAAUACAGCUUGAAAUUAAGUACUUUAAAAAUGACGGCAAAAAACUAUAGUGGACCACCUUAGUAGAUGGUUUAGGUGGAAUUCACCAUUGAUCAUAAAUAAUAACCAUCAAAUUGAUCUCAUGUUCAUAAAGUUACAAUCUUGUUAAUGGUAAUCCAAUUAGUGAAUUUGAGUUGGAAAAUGGCCAUAGACAAGGAGAUCACUUGGUUCAUUUUCUUUUUACUACUAUGGCCGAAGGACUUAGUGGUUUUAUAGACAAAUGAUAAAAAAAGAAUUUGUUCAAAGGGAUUCUUUGUGGGGGAUAAGAUGGUAGAUGUUAAUCUAUUGUAAUAUAUGGAUGAAAUUAUUUUCUUUGGUGAGACAACUUUGAAUAAUGUGAGAAUUACUAAAUCCUUUAUGAGGUGUUUUGAAUUGACUUCAAGGCUUAAAGUUAAUUUCUUAUAAGUGAUUUUGGGGCUUUCGGUGUGGAGGAGAGAGUUGUGGAUAGAUAUGGGAUCUCUUGAUUUGUACCUAGAAGACUAUCCUUGUCUUUCACUUACUUGGGAUUCCUAUUGUUGCUAAUUCCAGAACAGAAGAAACUUGGAAGUUUGUAAUUUCUAAAUUCCCAAAGUUGUCCAUGUGGAAGCAUAAAACUCUUUCUUUGGCGGGUAGGGUGUGCCUCAUAAACUUGGUAUUUACCUCUCUACCUCUUUUUUUAUGUCUUUUUUUAAAAUGCCUUAGUGUGUUGUGAGGAAAUUAAAAUAGAGAGGAUUGGUUGUCCUAGGAGUCACGGUGGAUUGGGUAUCAACGGCUUAUCCAUGUUCAACGAUGCAUUUUUAGCUAAAUGGAUGUGGAAUCUUUUCCGCCAAAUAGAUAGCCUUUGGAGUAAGGUUUAAAUUUCAAAGUAUGAUGAGCGGAGGAACCUUGUUGAGUUUGAGGAGAAGUAUAGAAUUUAUUUGGUGGAGAGAUUUGUGGGGGAUAUGAUAUUAAAUGGUUUGUUAGCUUGGUAGAUUGAAAGUUAGAAGAAGGGGGAAACACUUCCUUUUGACUAUAUGUGUUGUUAAAUGAUGAUGUGACAUUGAUUUUAUUAUAUUUUUUAGCAGUUUUUAACAAUUUAUGGGAGUUAAAAACCACUAUAAUUGCUUCUAUCUUACACUUUAUUACGUUCUCGUGAAUAACCUGACCCCAAUUCAAAUCAUCAAAAAAGUCUUAGAUCUCAACAUAUUUUGGGAACAAUCCCAUCUAAGAACUUUACCCAAAAACAUAACAUAAAUAAGAACUAUGUUAGAAAAAUCUAUUAUCUGGAUUUUAAUUUUAAUCUACAAAUAAAACUCAAGGGGUUUUGGUAUCUCCUCAUUGAUUCCAUGGCUGACGAUCUAAGAAGCACAGACACAACUAUGAAGUGGCAUGUUGAGGUGUUUGUUGUGUCUCCGACAUGAACAUGGCUCAGACACGGCAAAGAAGUGUCCUCUUUUUUUUUCUAGGUCGGACACAGAUCAAACACGACCAAACAAUGAUGACACAGCGCUUGGGACUCGAUCCAAUCAAUGGACAUAGACACUUUUGUUUUUUAUUUUUUAAUUUUAAAAUUGAAAUAAAAAUUAGUAAAAAAGAAGGUAGAAGACAAAACGAACCAUUGCCUUCUCGAGUCUAUUCUCCUUCACAUUUCUUUUUCCCUCUUUGUGUGACAUUGUCCUUGAGUCACCUUCUAUCGUCGUUUGACCUCAAACCAGCCUUCAUUCAUCAGCGUCGUCAUCACACAAUACAGCCUCACCAACGUUGCAAUUCGAACUUGAACCAAACAACAUCUUCUUCGUCACAACUCACAACCUCAUCAUUAACAACCUCACACGGUUGCUAUAAACCACGCCAUCGUCGCACCAAAACAAGGUUUAAUUUUUACUUCCUUCCCCUGUUUAUGUUUGUUUCCUUUAUUUUCAUAGUUGGGUUUCUUAGUUCCUUGAUUUUCUUCCCAUUUUUUUGUGCGAUUGGGCCAUUGGGGUUCUACUUAAGUGAGUUGGGGCUUUUGAUAAAUUUUCAUAAUAAGGGGUUCAAAACAAGUGAUGUAUUUUAUUUGUAAAUUUUUAGUAAAUUAUUUGUGGUGUAAGAUAUUUUUUUUGCGAUGGAGAGAAAAGUUUUGUGUUGGUGUAAGCUAGUUUAUACUUUAUACUUUAUAAAUUAUAACUUUGCCAAUGAUGUGUUAUACUUAUAUUGUAUAUUGUAGUUACAUAAUUUUCAGCGUUGAAACUUCAUGCUAAUAUCUUGUAGUUACAUAUUUGUAAAUGCUUUGCAUUAUAUUUAUAAUUUGAGACUUGUUGUCUUGUUGCGUUUGUUGUCACACAAGCACACACACGACAACCUGUCAUUCAUUCAAGUAACAUAUUUGAAUGGAGGAGUGGAGAUGUAUAUUUGGUAAACAUUAUUGCAAUUUUAGAAACUUUAAAAUAAGAGGAAUAGAAAGCAAAAUUAACAAGUAACCUUCCUAUCAUCCUGAUGAGGACAAGGCAAGGAACCUUUAGAAGGACUUGAAGGACCUAUGGCAAGGGCUAGAACAAAGAAGGCCAAGGAAGCUCUUCAACAAGUAUUAACCAUGCUAUUUGAAUUUAGGCCCAAGUUACAAGUGGAGAAACUUCGGAUUGUUAAUUGCACCAUGUUCCAAGAAGAGUAGAGGGUGCCACUUUUGUUGAGUGGUUUUAUUAGCAUUUUGUUAGUUGAAAUAAAGGCCCAAACUUGUGUUUAAGUGGCUGUCAAUUCUCUUGGGAUUUGCACCACCUAUGGGCUUGUUUUAAUUUAAAUAAAUUUAAGGUUUAAUAAGGUAAAAACUCUAGGAUUGUGGCUGCCUCUUGGCUGACCAAGGAGUUGCACAAUUUUCCAUAUGUUUAUGUGUCUUAAUUCUAGUUUUAAUUAGGUAUAAUGACACCAUCAAUUGUUGUUAUCAAUUCUAGUUUUAAUUAGGUUUAAUGACACCAUCAAUUUUUGUUAUUGGUGAUCAUUUCACUAGUGUAACCAACUUGAUGCCAUUCCUAUUUAUAGGCUGCACAUUUUCUAAUAAAGAAAUAGACCUUGAAUUUGAGUUUUAAUCACCUUCUAAAGUGUGAGAGUAAAUCUCCUUAGUUACUUGAGUGAUUCAAGAAAUUGGUUUAUCAAGGAACACCACCUUGUGUGUGACACCAAUUCCGGAGGAGUGAUUCUUCUAACCCGCUUCUUCAUUCUCCUUCUUCAUCUUUCUAAACCUUCAUUCUUUAAUCCUACUUGAACACCAUUGUUAUUAUCUUUAUUUUCCAUCCAAACACAUUCAAACUUUGAACCAAAUACCUUAUAUUCAACCCUCCAUAAACUUGUCACUUUCUCUCUCGUUCAAUAAAUUUCAUAAAAAAAAAAGAAAGAAAAACCUUUGAAGAUCCAUCUUCAACCCUUGUGCAAAUGGGUUUACAUCACAUCCCUUGUUGAUUUUUAUAAAUACUUUUAUGAAUGUUUUAUUGCAUAUUAUUAUUUCUUAUUGUAUCUAUUUGCUUUGGUUUUAUGGUAUAGAUGAGUGGUGCUACUAAUCAAGCUACAAACCAAGAAAAUGAAAGUAGACCUCUAUGAAAAUAUGUUUCACAAACAAGACAUCUAAAACAACAAAGAUGUCUAGUGGUGGAAAUUAUGAGAUCAAGUGAAACAUGUGUGAACUUCUAUUCAAUGGAUCUUACCACUAGAGUAAAGGCUCAAUUACCAAAAAUCUCAAGAGCAGCAGUUUCAGUCUUUUCGAAGGUAACUCCUUCAAAACUUGUGUCCCUUUACCUCCGGUCUCUAAUGAAGGUCAAGAAACAAACAUUGGUGUUAAUCCAAAUGAGAGACAUCCUUUAGAAGCUUCUUUCAAUGUGCAAGGCAAAGAUACUCUUGAUUGUGAAAUUACAAGGAUGUUUUACUCUUCUGAUCUACUAUUUCAUUUAGCAAGGAAUCCUUAUUAUAGGAAGGAAUUUUUUUAUGUUGCUUGAUAAAUCAUUAUUUGAUUGUAUUUGGACCCCAAUUUUUUGUCCCAUUUUGUCUUAUUUUUACUUUAUUUUGUUUGUAGAGCUCAUGAGUAUAUGUUAAGUGUGAACAGUUGAAUAAGGAAGUUCAUAAAGAGGCAAAAGCACCAAAGUAGAUAAGAAAAUGAGAGUUUUGAGAAUUUCUUACUGAGCACAACUUGUGUUGAACCUGCAGGUGCUAAAUUAACACCCCAAAUCCUCGUAGAAAGCUAUGCUCACCCAGCACGACCCGUGCUGACCCAGCGCAACUCAUGUUGGCCUUUAUACUACAACUUAUUUUAAACAUUAUAAAUAGAAGUGUAAAAGGUCUUUUAGGUUAUGCUUUAUUUUAUUUAUAAACAACAAGAGCUUUUGGGAGGAGAACUGCACCGGGAACAAUUGAGGUCUGAAUCUGUAAGGAUUUUUAAUCUCUUUUAUUAAUGCAAUAUUGUAUGUUGUUUAGCUAUUUUAUGGACAUGGUUGGCUAAAUCCCUUAGACUCAUAUUGUGAUGUCGCUAUACCCAUGCACUCUAAUUUCUCUUUUUAAUAAAGUUCUUUAAGGUUAAUAAUUGAUUGUAUUUUUCUAUUAUUUUCACUUCUAUAUUGGAAUUGAUCACUCUGAUUAUAGGAAAUUAUGUGUUUGUGAUCAUUUUCUCGUAAUUAAUUGAACUAUAGAAUGAUAGAAUUCAUAAAGCUUGCAUGACCAAACUAGUGGCAUGAAUCUCCUGUUUACAAACCUCUAUGUUAUUCAUCUUUAACCCUAAAUUAAAUCCCAAAUAACCAAUGCAACAUUGGUUUAGAGGGAAGAGUAUUCUCAGACCAUGACCAUAGCCUAAUAAUUAAAAUAAGAGGUAUUAGGCAAUUAAUUGGUAACUGAUAUUUCUUAAUUAAAAUAUGAAUUAUGGGAAAAACGGUACAUGCGAAAUCAUAAUCUGAGUCACUUCUCUUCAUACAUAUCUUUUCUUGAAAUUGUUGUUUGUCUUUAGUUUUAUUUUCUCAAACACAAACACAAACAGUCCCCAACUCUAGAUAAAACCCCCCAAAAUUAUUUAGUUUAUGCAAUUUAAAUUAUUUGGGAACACAAGUAGUCUUUAGGGUAUAAUAUUUGUACUUUUGAGUCUAUUGUUGUUACUGCGUAGGGUACACUUGCCUUUAGCGAGUACAUAUUUUACACAUUAUUGCUAAAUCUUCUAAUAUCAAUGGGUAUGUACCUCAAGGUUACAAUAAGUUUAUAACAACCUUGCUUACAAAGGAAAAAAAAGUCACAUGGAGAACCUAUUGCAGUCAAUAAAAAAAUUCAUUGAGUCAGAAAGGGGUGAGAAUUGUUAGUGAUGGAUAGAGUGAUCCUCAAAGAAGACCUCUUAUCAAUUUAUGGUUGUCACUGAGAAUGGACCAAUGUUUUUAAGGGCAUUAGACUACUCAAGUGAGGUAAAAGGCAAGGAUUUCAUUGCUAAACACUUGAGAUAUGCCAUCAACUUAUUAUGGAGGUUGGGAUAUUAAAAAUGUCAUGCGAAUUGUGAUCGAUAAUGCAACUAUAUGUAAGGUAGUAGGUUUUCUCAUAGAAACAAAGUUUUAUUCCAUCUAAUGGACUCCUUGUGUUGUGUAAACCUUGAACUUUGCAUUAAAAAAUAUAUGUUUAACCAAGAACACCGAAAGAAACAAUGUUCUUGGAUUACAUAAAUUGUGAAAGAUGUUGGUUAUACUAAAAACUUUAUCAUGUGACACUCUAUGAGAUUAUCAAUGCUUAGCAACUUCAAAUUAUUGAAGUUUUUUUUUGUUGUUCAGACCAAAUUUGCUUCUACCAUAGUAAUACCCAAGAGGUUUAGAAGUUUUAAAAAAGGAUUGCAAGAGAUAGUUAUUAGUGAUCAUCGGUAUUCUUACAAGGAGGAUGAAAUCAACAAGGCUUUAUUUGUGGAAGAAACUUUGUUGAGUGGUAUUUGGUGGGAUAAGGUUAAUUAUAAGCUUGCUUUCACCGCUUCUAUGUAUGAUGUUCUUAGAAAAAUAGAUACGAAUGUGACUUCUCUUUACUUGGUAUAUGAAAUGUGGGAUUCAGUGAUUGACAAAGUGAGAAAGGUCAUAUACCGACAAGAAAGAAAGGCAGGAAUUGAAGAAUUAAAAUUUUAUAAUGUCAGACCCUAAUUUCAUCCGGGGACUAUUGUUCACUGAUAUUUUGAUUCUUGCUAGUUGAAUUACAGAGUUUGACACCAGUUACAGUGCAAAGCAAGGAAUUACUCAGUGCUUUGAUCAAGAAAACAAAAAGUUACCGAGGAAGAGGGCAAAACAGUCUUUUUUUUAUUUUUCUAGACCCUAGCUCGCCCAAGCUAGCAUUUGGCUCGUUUGGGCCAUGAAGUUGCUUCAUACCUAAGAAACCAGCUCGCUUGGGCGAGCUCAUUCCUUUAGGGCUAAGCAUCAGCUUGCCUGGGCGAGCUUCAACCGCCCCAAAAUGGCUUUUUCCAUAUAAAUAGGCAUGUUAAGGGUGUUUUAAGGGGUUCCAAGGUUCAGGAGUUGAGAGGAUUGAGAGAAGAGAAAAAGAAGAAGAAGAAAGAAAAAGAAACGAAGCCGAAAUACUACCGAAUCAUGACCAUGAUCAUUCCCUACAUCGUUUUAUUGUUUUGUGUUCCUCGUGAAAUUGUCGAUUAGUUUUGUUUUUAAGGAUUGAAUGUGAUCUAUGUACCCUUAGGGGUCUCCUAUGUUAUUAUGCGCAUAUUCAUCUUCUCCAUCUAUCAUCAGUAGUCUCAUUUAUUUGUAAAGUUUAAAUCUUAAUUGAUCACUAGUUCCGUAAAAUUGUCUUUAAAGAGGUUGAAAGUUAAUAAACAAAACCACAAUAAAAACCAACUCAUAACUAAACUUCUCUCCAUAAAAAAAAAUCACUUGAGAUCAUUUCAAGGUCCAACACCUUAACGACCUUGUUGUUUGUAAUUAAAAUGAAUCUUUCAAAAGCAUAAAACCAACUCAACACACAAACUUUCUCACUUUAAAGAACUACAUAGGUCUGAAUUUCUCAUCGCACUUGAGGAUACGUAGGAGCAAGCGCAGCCCCCUUGUCGACCCAAAUAUAUAUAUAUAUAUAUAUAUAUAUAUAUAUAUAUAUAUAUAUAUAUAUAUAUAUAUAUAUAUAUAUAUAUAAAGGAAAAAUAAAAAAUAUUGAAGUCAUGUUGUGCACACUUGAUUAAAGUUCGUCGUCCCUUGUAACGGACGUGUGGGAUGCUAAUACCUUCCCUAUGCGUAAACAACUCUCAGACCCUUAUUUCUAAAAUUCACUGACCUUUUUUUUGUUUUUUCUAACGUUUUCCUUAAAGAAACGUUGGUGGCGACUCCCACACAUUUUUUUUAGAAUACGCCUUUUUGAUUUUUUCCUGCAUGCCCGUCGUAGGGUAGGUUGUGACAGAUGACGACUCCGUUGGGGAAUUGCCAGAGAGUUAAGCCAUUCGAUUAGUGUGCAAUUUUAUCGUGACUUCUUCUUUGUUUAUGUUUCCUUUUCUUUUUUAUCUUUUGUUUUGCUCAUAUUUGUGUAUAACCUUUGCUAUGUUAUUGUCUUUUGGUGUGUAUCUGUCUAUCUACUACAUUCGUAGUUUAGAAAUAUUCUUUUUGUGCCAUUAAAUCAUGUGGUAGACAAGAUGUGAUGUACUUGUUGCAUCUACCUGGGAGUUGUUUGUUUGCUUGGCAAGUAGAGUGGGGUGAUUCUUAGAUUGCUCUAUGCACACAUGACACUUACACUUUUGCACACACGUUGAGAUGUUAGGCCCUAUACCUGGGUCUGUGUGAGCCAUAGGGAGUGGAGGUCGAUUUGCGAUCAUGUUGGGUCUCUAACUCGCUUGAUAAUAGUGAAGCCUCAUCUAGAGUUUUCCUCUUUUGGUAAGACAUUGACGCUGGUAGUCCCUAUCGUCACAAUGUUGUUACCAAAGAGGAUGAUAUCUCUAGAAGCCAUUAAAAGUUACAUAAAUCCACCCUUGGGAGUUGUCACUGGAUAGCAAACUUUUUUAUCCUUUCCAUUAGGUUCUUGAAUUAGGGACAUAGAACAAACUCACCAUGUUUUGUUUCAUUGAUCAAAUCAUGUAUAUCUUCAUAAUGUCAUAAUAGUACAUAUGAUUCUUGUAUUUACCAUUUUAUCAUGUUCACACGCGGCAUUUUGCAUAAAUCAUUACAUUGUCAUACUUGUUCGUUUAGCAUGUUUUAUUUGUGCUACCAAUCACAUACCUUCUGUUUUCAUUAUUCGUUAUGUUCACUCAUGCAUACUCCCGCCAUAUAGUUGCUCAUGCCUUGCAUUCUUUUUCUUUGCCGUCAAAGUCACAAUGAAGUGUGAAAGUCUGCAUCGUAUUCUUAGUUGCAUGAGUUGGGUACCAUGGUAAUAACUGCAAACAAACCAUGAUUAGGUUCAUACAUUUCUUUCUCUCGAUGAUGAUUGAGAGUCGUAUGAACAUGGUACCCAAUGCAUUGUUAAUAAGAAAGGGUGGUCUUUCGGGCAUUUUCCGUCAGUUUGAUAAAUACGUUUGUCAUGCAUAGCCUAACCAUGCCCUGUUUCAUUCAAUCCCCUCUAUGAUAGGGUGUUGAAGUAUUGGUCAUCAAAAUUUCCAUUCUUGUGAACAUGGGGUCGGACCAAGGGUCGUCUUUUAAGAAAAGGUUCUAUCAUGUCAAAGUCAAAAAUCUAGAAGUAGCCAGCUUGCGAAAACUGGGUCAGCAGAUGGGUCAAGUUCAACGUCAGGCUUUUAGCAAGGUAUAUGGGAAGAUCUGAGAUCUGUCAAUGAUAAAAGUGUCAAUUGAAGUCAUUGCAUCUCUCACUCAAUACUAUGACCAAUCACUCAGAUGCUUCACUUUUGAGGACUUUCAAUUAGCCCCAACCAUAGAGGAGUUCGAAGGGAUCUUAGGAUGCCCGAAAGGAGGAAGGAAACCAUACCUUUUUCUGGGUACUAUCCUUCUAUGGUGAGAAUAUCAGGAGUGGUCAAGAUCUUGGAACGAGAAUUAGAUCGAGUGAAGCAAAGUAGGAAUGGAGUAGCGGGAAUACCAAGGAAGUGCUUGGAGAAGACGAAAACUCUGGCAAGCCAAGGGGAGUGGGUAUCAUUCAUCAACAUAUUAGCACUGCUAGUGUUUGGGACAGUUCUAUUUCCAAAUGUAGACGGGCUGGUGGAUCUAGCAGCGAUUGACGCUUUUCUUGCUUAUCACCACAGCAAGGAAAGCUCGGUCAUUGCUAUUUUAGCAGAUGCGCAUGAUACAUUCAACUUGAGAUGUGAGAAGAGCAGUGCGAGGAUUGUUUGUUGUAUGCCUGCUCUUUAAGUAUGGUUGGUAUCCCACGUCUUUAAUCAUGAAAGUAGAUCUGUCUGUCCCCUACAAGGUCAUCGCAUGUGCUCGGGAAAGGACAAAGCAAAUUAGGAAGAACUCUUGGCAGGCAUGACGGGAGUGUCCAUUAGUUGGUUUCCACGGUGGAAAGAAGGAAGGGCAAAAGUGUUAUGCUCAUGUGAAGGACUUCCAAAUGUCCCUUUGAUAGGGACGAGGGGUUGUAUUAAUUAUAAUCCCAUGUUAGCCAUAAGACAGUUAGGAUACCCUAUGAGAGGUGCACCAUCGGAGGAGACCAUCGCGCCUUUCAUCGCGUGAGGUUUCAAUGAAGCUAAUACGAAGAUGCUUCAGAGGAUCCGUAAGGCAUGGAAUAAAGUGGAAAGAAAAGAUAAAGAACUUAAGGGAAGUAGCAAUGGUAUCAUAGGCGACUAUUACAAGUGGUUGAAAUCUAGAAUGAAAGGGAUGAUUUGGCUCCAAAAGAUAAAGGGUCUGAAUAGGAAGAGGCUGAAAUGCCUGAGGAGAAUGAAGAGGUGCAAGCCUUGAAAGUUGAGCUCGAAAAGACAAAUUAGCGAAGGAGAAGCUAAAGGUGGUAGUCACUAGGGUUAGGAAAGAAUGUGAUGAGCUGAAAGAUAUCAACAUGAUCGCGGAUGAAACGCUAGAGCGGGAAACGUAAAGGGCCAAAAAGGAAGAGUGGAGCAAAAACAAGUUUCGAGGGGCUUUGUUAGGCAGCAGUAAUGAGCUCAAACUUAGAAAGGUUGAGAGGGACAAAUCAAGGAUGGAAAGCACGAUGUUAGAGGAUAAGUUAAAGAGUUAUCAGAGGUUGAAGAGAAGUUUGAUAGAGCAGUUGAGCAAGAUGGAAGAGAAUAUGUUGAUAAUCAUUGGUCAAUAUAAAGAGAAAGUGAACCUAGCUGCCAAUCACGGGCAGAUGCUGGAAGAAGAACAAGCGAAGGUGUUGGCCUUGUGGAUUGAAAGGGAAGCAAGAGAAGGGGUGAUAGAGUUAUUGCAUAAAGAAGCCAUGAAAUUGAUGGAUAGAUUUGCUCUCACUUUGAAUGAGAGUCAAGAGCUUCCAAGGUUGUUAGUCAGAGCCAAGGCAGUGGCUGACACAUAAUCUACUCCCGAUGAAGUUCACAGUCUUUUCAAUUACUUCCAACACAUGCUUAAACUAAUGACCCACAUAAUUAGGAAUCGCUUAUGUGUCUAUGUUGUAUUUCUAGUUAUGCUUUAGCUCUGACAAGAUGAACAAUGUUGUUUUUAAUGAAAAUUAGAUUUGAUUCGACCCUAUGUUCUACUGAAUGUCCUAUGUAAAAUUCAUGAUACUUAAACAACUUAUCAUUGUCAUGCAUUCACGUUUAUUUAGUUGUUACACUACUCAUUGCAUUCUUUCCUUCACAGUCUUCAUCGUCGUCGUCAUCGUCAAAACAUAAUCAUAGUAAUAAAAAAGAACGAAUGCGCUUUACGACACCCUUACCGAACACGUGUCAAGGCUAGAAUCAUGAGUGAGAUAGAGGAAGUUCAAGAACAAAUGAAGGCUGACAUAGAGGCCAUGAAAGACCAAAUAACCACCAUGAUGGAGGCCAUGAUGAGUAUGAGAAAAAUGAUGAAGGUCAACGCGGUUACAAUCGCUACCACAAGUACCGCCACUGAUGUGGACCCGACUCACCCAUCUGGUAUUAACCAAGUAAAUCAUCCAGUCCUGGAUAUGGUAGGUCAUGGAGGUGAAGCAUUGGGAAGUACGGGCGGCCCCUAUUUUGUACAGAUCCAGAGCAAGCAUCCUUUCCCACCAUAUGGUUUGCCUCCCAACUACGCACCACCCAAUGUUGCACACGCGCCCGAUGAGAAUGUCGACAACUCCGCUCUCAUACCCAUUGAGAGCCAACAAUCCCAAUCUGGUCAUGCACAUGCCUCUCAACCCAUGGGGGAGACACAUGAAGUACCCCGAGACCACACUCUGGCCGACUUCGAGCCUCACCUCGGAUAUGCCACUGAGGGGCAAACAUUUGGUGGCGUACCCAUGCCAAACACCUUGGGGGGCCGUCAGUAUCGCCCACAACCAUAACUACAACCCUUACAUUUUGCGGUGGGAAGACUUCCUCCUGCCAUGGUGGAAAGGGAAAAACUCGAUCAUAUAGAAGAAAGGCUGAGAGCCAUUGAAGGAGGCAGAGACUAUCCUUUUGUCGACAUGGCAGAACUGUGCCUAGUGCCCGACGUCAUCAUUCCUCCGAAGUUCAAGGUGCCGAAUUUCGACAAAUACAAGGGGACUACUUGCCCCAAGAAUCACCUGAAGAUGUACUGCUGGAAAAUGGGAGCAUACGCGAAAGAUGAAAAACUCUUGAUGCAUUUUUUUCAAGAAAGUUUGGCUGGAGCAGCUAUCACUUGGUACACCAAUCUAGAAUCUUCCCGGGUUCAUUCCUGGAAAGACCUAAUGGCUACCUUCAGCAGGCAAUACCAAUACAAUUCCGAUAUGGCCCCGGAUAGAAUGUAGUUGUAAAACAUGUGUAAAAGGGAGCAUGAAUCCUUCAAAGAAUAUGCCUAGAGAUUGAGGGAUCUGGCGGCUUAAGUAGCACCCCCAAUGAUGACAAUGAUAGUAGACACUCUACCUGUGUUCUACUAUAAGAAGAUGGUGGGAUACGUGCCCUCGAGUUUUGCAGAUCUGGUAUUUGCAGGCAAAAGGAUCGAAGUAGGCCUAAGAAUGAGCAAAUUUGUUUAUACUGCUUCGACGAGUUCUGGCAAUAGGAGGCCUAGGGCAGGUGGAGCAAAGAAAAAGGAGGGAGACACCUACGCCAUGACCACAACACCCACAUGGCAAGGCUUCCAACAAACCCCUCAUAACCCCAUGUACCAGUAUCCCCCGCACCAAUAUAAUUACUUGGCCAAUAUUGGCUCUCCCCCCUGCCCAAUGCCUUUCCGACCAAGAACGCCCAAUCAACCACAAAGACCUCCCCAACCGCACCCAAAAAUCCAGUCCCUACAUAGCCUAGAUCGAGUACAAAUCCCAACCUCAAUACAAACACCAACCUAAGGAGGAACUUCCCAGAGAGAAAACCCGCGGAGUUCACCCUAAUCCCAAUGUCGUAUGCUGACCUACUAGUCUGCUACCAUCCUUGCUCAGCAACCAAAUGGUUGUAGUAAGCCCGGGAAAGGUCUAUCAACCUUAAUUUCCCCGAUGGUAUAAUCCUAACGCCACAUGCGCCUAUCAUGGUGGCGUCCUGGGGCACUCCGUCGAGCAAUGUGUAGUUUUUAAGCACAAAGUACAAAGUUUGAUUGAUGCGGGAUGACUUACAUUUCAAGAGGAUAGUCCCAAUGUAAGGACUAAUCCAUUUGCAAAUCAUGGAAGCUCGUCGGUGAACGCGGUGGGAGAAGGGAAAUUUAAGGAGUUAAAAUAGAUAGGGGAUGUAUUGACUCCAAAAUGAUUCAUAUUGGAGGCGUUGCACGAGGCCGAUGUGAUUGAAUGUGACGAUAAUAAGGGAGAUAUGUGCUUGAUGUAUCUAGGGGCGUUGCACGAUGUAGAAAGAUGCCCAAUAAUUGAGGAGUUGCUGCAGGGACUGAUAAGUAGGGGUCAAAUUGAAAUCCACAGUGCAAAAAAGGAGGAAGGAGAAGUAUUCAUGCAGUCGAGUGAUAGAAGCCCAAGUUAGCCUAAGCCUUUGGUGAUUUAUUUCACCAAAGAUAUUACCACUCAGAUACCUCAAGGUUUCCAGCCCUAUGUAGCAAAGACGCCAACACCCUUCCCUUAUAAAAGUGACAACGCAGUACCGUGGAGGUAUGACAUGCAAGGAUCCGACGGAAGGCAAGAUGCGUCUGUCAUGCAUGUUGGGACUGGGAUGUCGGCUGCUAAGAUCAUGAAUAUUUUCAGUAUGAGCAGCAUGACUCAUAGUGGAUGUGUUUUCGCUCCUCCCAAACUACCAGCAAGGUCGAAGGACAAGGGGAAGGCAAAGGCAACUAUGGGCAAGAGGCAGAAAAUGGGCCUGACCGCGAAUAACGAGGCCUAUAUCGGAAAGUUUGCAUAGGAAGGGGACGAGCUUAGCAAGAGAGAGAUAUCGGUUGAGGAGGCAAUCGAAUUUCUGAGAAUCAUUCAAUAGAAUGAAUUCAAAGUAAUUGAGUAAUUGAACAAAACUCCAGCCAAGAUCUCUUUAUUAGGGUUGCUCAUGCAUUUCAAGCCUCAUCGAGCGUUGUUGGUAAAAAUCUUGAACGAGACCCAUGUGGCGCACGACAUAUCUGUGGAAGGUUUUGGGGGAAUAUUCAACAACAUCACUGCAAACAAUUACCUGACUUUUGCUGAGGAUGAGAUGCCAGUUGAGGGCAAGGGGCACAACAAGGUCUGCAUGUAUCUGUCAAGUGCAUGGACCACAUAAUGGCCAAGGUACUCAUUGACAACGACUAUUCUCUCAAUGUUAUGCCCAAAAUGAAAUUGGAUAAAUUUCCAUUUGAUGCAUCGUAUAUGAGGCCAAGCUCCAUGGUGGUAAGGGUUUUUUAUGGUAGCUAUCGUGACGUGAAAGGAAAAUCAAUCUCCCGAUUUAGAUUGGGCCAUACACGUGCCAGAUAACUUUCCAAGUGAUGGACAUAAAACCCGCCUACAUUUACUUGUUAGGUCGGCCUUGGAUCCAUUCUGUUGGGGUGGUCCCAUCAACAUUACACCAGAAAUUGAAAUUUGUGGUGGAGGGUCAGCUGGUUAUAGUAUUAGACGAGGAGGACAUACUAAUGAGUUGUUUGUCUUCUACGCCUUAUGUUGAAGCUACGGAGGAGUUUCUAGAGACGUCGUUUCAAGAGUUAGAGAUCGUGAAUAAUGCUUAUGUGGAGUCUCCUCCGGUACAACCAUGUUUGUCUGGUGCCUUUUUGAUGGUAGCCCGAGUUAUGCUAAAAGAUGGUUAUGAGCCUAUAAUAGGUUUGGGCCGGAAUAGUGAUGGCAUGACAAGCUUGUUGAAAACCUUGGGAGGUUCGAUCUGGGUUACAAGCUGACAAAUGCUGCCAAGAGGAGGAUUUCUUUGGAAAGGAAAGAAAGAAUAUUAGCCCGUUUACAAGGGAGGGGACCACAGGUGGAAAGGGUCCCUAUUUGUCACAUCAACGAGAGCUUUGUUAGCGCGGGAUGGAUGCACGAAGAUCAAGUUGUUGUGUUGGAUGAAGAAACCAAUCAAGAUCAGCCAAAUUAGGUGCAGUCGUGUUCCCCAGGCUUUGAAUUGAAGAACUGGCAGAUCAUGGAGCGACCUGAGAUUUCUGUGUCAAAUCCAAUGUAAUCAAGUAGUUUGGACCCUAUUGCUAGGCCUAGGCUUUAGGGUCUACUUCUCUUGUUGGGCAUACUUUCCUUUAAUUUUCCAACAAUUAUUAAUAUACAAACCUUUUAUUGAGAUGUUCCCGCUUGCACCUUUGUCCGUUUCAUUUUUCUGCAUAUUUAUUUUCAUUGCGAUUAAAUGAUUUGACGCGGAUCGGACAAUGAGUCCUAUGAAAGUAGUGAUACCGAGGACCCGAAUGUUGACUUUGAGCGGCCAGUAAAUCAAGUCGAGGAGGAAGAAAAUAAGGAUUGGGGGCUUCCCUCAUAUUUAAGGAGAAUGGUGGAACAAGAAGAAAGAGAGAUGAAGCCACAUCAAGAGGAGACAGAGGUUGUGAAUUUGGGCACUGGUGGAGAGAAAAAGGAGGUCAAGAUUGGCACUUGUGUGUCCACGAACGUCCAAGAUGAGUUAGUGGCUCUGUUGCGAGACUACCAAGACAUCUUCGCUUGGUCUUACCAGGAUAUGCCUGGUUUGAGCUUAGAAAUUAUACAACACAAGCUACCUUUGAAUCCCGAGUUCUCCCCGAUGAAGCAAAAAUUGAGGAAAAUGAAACCUAAGAUGUCUCUAAAGAUAAAGGAAAAGGUAAAGAAACAAUUCGAUGCAGGUUUUUUGGCCAUUGCCUAGUACCCAGAAUGGGUCGCCAAUAUCAUGCAAGUCCCAAAAAAGUAUGGGAAGGUGCGAAUGUGCAUGGACUAUCGAGAUCUAAACCGAGCCAGUCCAAAGGAUAAUUUUCCUUUAUCGCACAUCGACGUUCUCAUGGAUAACACGACCAGUUUUUCCCUAUUCCCUUUCAUGGAUGGAUUUUCAAGUUAUAACCAGAUAAAGAUGGCACCGGAGGAUAUGGAAAAGACAACUUUCAUUACUCUAUGGGGAACCUUCUACUAUAAGGUGAUGUCAUUUGGACUAAAGAAUGUUGGGGCAACCUACUAGCAGGCCAUGGUGGCAUUAUUCCACGACAUGAUGCACAAGGAGAUCGAGGUCUAUGUGGAUGACACGAUUGUGAAAUCAAGAACGGAGGAGGAACACCUAGUCAAUUUGCGAAAGUUGUUCGGGCAACAACGUAAAUACAGGUUGAGACUAAAUCCCGCGAAGUGUACGUUUAGGGUAAAGUCCGAAAAGUUUCUCAGCUUUGUGGUUAGCCAGAGAGUAAUAGAGGUGGAUUCAGACAAGGUGAAAGCGAUCAUCGAGAUGCCCGAGCCAUGUACAGAGAAGCAAGUCCGGGGUUUCUUGGGGAGGUUGAACUACAUCGCAAGAUUCAUAUCAUAGUUAACUGCCACUUAUGAGCCUCUUUUCAGAUUGUUGCAUAAGAAUAAGUCUGUCAAAUGGGACGAUGAUUGUCAAGUAGCAUUUGAGAGAAUUAAAUGGUGUUUGAUGAAUCCUCAUGUGCUCGUGCCACCGGUGCCUAGGAGACCUCUCAUUCUAUACAUGACAAUGUUAGAUGAGUCGAUGGGAUGUGUGCUGGGACAACACGAUGAAUUCGGAAAAAGGGAAUGAGCCAUCUAUUACCUGAGCAAGAAAUUCACAGCAUGCGAGAUGAACUACUCGUUGCUAGAAAGGACAUGUUGUGCCUUAGCGUGGGCAGCUCACUGUUUGAGGCAGUAUAUGUUGAGUUACACUACUUGGUUGGUGUUUAAAAUGAAUCUCGUCAAGUACAUCUUAAAAAAACCCGCUCUUACUGGGAGAAUAGCUCGGUGGCAGGUCUUCUUGUUAGAAUUCAAUAUCAUCUACCUCACUCAUAAGACAAUAAAAGGGAGCACCUUAGCAGAUUAUCUAGCUCAGCAACCCAUAAACGAUUAUCAACCUAUGCAUCCAAAAUUCCCUGACAAGGGUAUUAUGGCCCUGUUUGAGGAGGAGGUUGAAGAUGAAGACAGAGAUAAGUGGGUUGUGUGGUUUGACAGUGCGUAUAAUGCAUUAGGUCAUGGAAUUGGGGUGGUGUUGGUUUCGCCGGACAAACAAUGUUUGCCUUUCACGACUAGGUUGUGUUUCGAUUGUACAAACAAUAUGGCAAAGUACGAGGCAUGCGCCCUAGGGAUCCGAGCGACGAUUGACUUUAGGGUCAAGUUGCUCAAAGUAUAUGGGGACUCGACGUUGGUAAUUUAUCAGUUGAAAGGUGAAUGGGAAACCAGAGACUACAAGUUGGUGCCUUACCAGGCUUACAUUAGGGAAUUGAUGAAACCCUUUGAUGACAUAUCAUUUCAUCACAUUCCUAGAGAGGAAAACCAGAUGGCCGACACCCUUGCCACUCUAUCGUCCAUGUUCAAAGUAAGCCCUCACGGAGAUUUUCCAUGCAUCGACAUUAGAUGUCGUGUUAAGCCUACACACUGUUGUUUGAUAGAAGAAGAAGAGGAUGGUAAAACUUGGUACUUCAAUAUCAAACGAUACAUUAAGGACAAGGAAUACCCACCUAAGGCCUCUAACAAUGACAAGAGGACAUUACGGAGGUUGGCAGCCAAUUUCCUUCUGAGUGGGAAUGUCUUAUAUAAAAGAAACCAAGAUAUGGUGUUGCUUUGAUGUGCGAAUGCAAAAGAGGCCGAACAAAUACUAUUGGAGGUGCAUGAGGGAUCCUUUGGUACCCAUGCCAAUGGACAUGGCUUGAAAGAUUUUGAGGGCGGGAUAUUACUGGCUCACUAUGGAGAACAGUUGUUGUGUUCACGUGAGGAAAUGUCAAACCUUCACUGAUAAUGUUAAUGCUCCACCUGUAUCGUUGAAUGUGUUGGUAGCACAGUGGUCAUUCUCAAUAUAGGGCAUAGACGUGAUUGGGGCUAUCAAACCCAAGGCUUCAAAUGGGCAUCGCUUCAUCUUAGUCGUCAUUGAUUACUUCACCAAAUGGGUGGAAGCAGCCUCAUAUGCUAACGUGACUAGGAAUAUGGUGAUUAGAUUCAUUAAGAAGGAAAUAAUUUGCAGAUAUGGGUUGCCCAGGAAGAUCAUCAUCGAUAAUGUCACCAAUUUAAACAACAAGAUGAUGAAGGAAAUGUGAGGAUUUCAAGAUCCAACUCCAUAAUUCAACGCCUUAUCGACCCAAGAUGAAUGGGGCAGUUGAGGCCGCUAAUAAAAACAUCAAGAAGAUCAUUCAGAAGAUGACCAUAUCAUACAAGGAUUGGCAUGAGAUGUUACCCUUCGCAUUGCAUGGUUAUCAGACUUUUGUACGCAUAUCUACUGGGGCAACCUCAUUCUCUUUGGUGUACGGGAUGGAAGUUGUGCUUCCGUUUGAGGUGGAGAUUCCUUCUUUGAGAAUUCUAGCGGAGUCAGGAUUGGAAGAAGCAGAAUGGGCCUAGGCAUGUGUUGACCAAUUAAACCUUAUUGAGGGAAAGAGAUUGGCUACCAUGAGCCAUGGCGCGACUAUACCAAAGCAGAGUGAAAAGCGCUUUUGACAAAAGAGUGCGCCUACGUAAGUUCAGUGAGGGGGACCUUGUUUUGAAGAAGGUAUCACAGGUUCAAAAGGAUCACCAAGGGAAAUGGGCCCCAAAUUAUGAAGGACCAUUUAUGGUGAAGAAGACUUUCUCAGGAGAAGCGUUGUUGCUCAUGAAUAUGGAUGAUGAAGAGCUUCCUUCGGUUGUGAUUUAUGAUGUCGUCAAGCGAUAUUAUGCAUGAUACUUGGGGCAAUUCAAAGACUCAAUGUUUGGGCCUCCUCAAGGACUCAUUAGUAUCUCCAUGUCUUAGGCUAUCUUUGUAAACAAUAAUCAAACAGUUAAUAAAUAUAGAUUAAUGAUUUGUAUCUCUCCCUCUAGGGUUAUGUCUUUUGCACCUUUUUAUUGUCGUUGGGCAUGAAUGUACACUCUCGUUUUUGCUCACUCGCAUGACCAGCACUCCAGGGCCAAUGGUCAAAUCUUCCAGAUCAAAAGUCACUCGUUCGACAUGUUCAGUAGGGGUGUCGUAAGCAUUGAGUAAAAUUGAACACACCAAAAAAACAGAAGAGAAAACACAACCCUUGGUUAAUUGUUGUGUUAAAUGAAUGUUUGAUAACAAACAUGCAUGCAUCUGCAUUUUUUAUCAUCUAAGUGUUUCACAAAGAGAAAAAUGAAUGAAGAGUCAUUUUGGGUUAUGGUCGACACCACAUCAAUUUGGGUAAACCUAGGGGAAAAUGGGAAAGGCGACACGAGCAUUUCACAACAUUUUAAACAUUUGCAUGUUAACAUUCUCUUUAUCAAGGCAUUAGAGUAGGUGCCAACAGGUGUUAAGUCCACGAUCGGAUUUUCUCAUUAUCAAAGAAAAGAAUUAAGAAGGAUGAGAUAGCAAAGCCUCGACUACAACCACGCGUCCAACUAAAGACGUUAAAGAAGCGCUCCUAGGAGGCAACCUAGUAUCUCUAAACUCUGUUCUUUAAUUUUAUGCCUUAUGUUUUCUAUUGCGUGUUGAUAUUGUUCAAUUUUCUUUUGGAUUAUUUCAUGAAUUCGCCUAGGAUUUAUGGGUAAUUUUAAAGCUUAUUAUAGGAUUAUAACCUUUUUGCAAAAACUUUGUUAAAAAAAAUUGUUUUAACUCGCCUGGGCGAGUGUACGCUGAAGAAAAAAAAAGGGCAGAAAGGGGUGAAAUCAGAUUUUCACCCCAUUUUCUCCAAGAACUUCAAAACUUCAUCACAAAUGGCUCCGAAGAAACUUUUUGCUAAGAGAGCUAGGAAGGCCACUACAGGGGAAAGAUCCAGUGCAGCCCCACAAGCGAAAAUUGAGUUUGAUGGGCACCGCUUCCAAAGCGAGGAGCAUCAAUGCCGCUUUGAGGUGAUUAAGGAUUAGUCUUUCCUCAAAGAAAGACGGGUCCAGCUAGCGGAGGGAGAGUAUGCAGAAUUCUAAGCCAAAGUUGUCAGGAGGAGUUGGACAUAGCUGAUAGAGCCUAUGGCGAAGUAUGAUCCUGAAGUAGUCAUGGAGUUUUACGCAAACUCCUGCCCACUGAAGAAGAAGUCAUGGACAAGCGCUCCUGGGUACGGGGCCAAUGGAUCCCAUAUGACACAGAUGCUAUCAACCAAUUCUUGGGGCAUCCAUUGGUCUUAGAAGAGGGACAACGAUGCAAGUACGCUGAGAGAAGAAGUAAGUUUUCAGGUUUUGAUGAAGAGGCCAUAUGUCAGCUACUUUUCUCCACGAGACAUGAUUUUGCACGGAGCGUAGCAGGGAGGUGGGUGCGAAUCAUGUGCACUAGCAUGACCACUCUGACUCAAAUUUGGAUGACACUCCUGCUCAGUAACAUCUUUCCCAGUGACCAUAACUCUGAUAUCCUGCUACCCAAAUGUCAGUUGGUCUACAGCAUCAUGGCCCAGAUCAGUGUUCAUGUGGCGCAGCUUAUCUCAGAUGUCAUCCACCAGUUCGUAGGUAUUGCAUCUCUGAGACACCUAGUGGACCCAGAGAAUUCCAAUAAGGCACUGGGAUUUCUGGCAUUGAUCGCAAGUCUCUGCCAAUUCUACGUGGUAUCGGUCGCGCUGACAAAGCUCAUCCAGCCUCCCAUUAACAUGUCCUUUAUUGAGAAAUAUUGCAUGCCAAGGCAAGCACAGCAGUCGGCCGCAGACGCACCAGCACCACCUCCGCAUCAACCACCAUCUCUAGAGUCCAUCUUAGCUCACAUGCAGAGGAUGGAGCUUCAGAUGCACGCAUACAUGCAACAUUUGGCUUAUCAACAAGCAGCCAAUCAUAGGGGCCAGAUGCAAUUGAAUGACAGUUUCUAUCAGUAUACAUUGCACCAACAUCGCGAGGACCCUAACCCUUACCCGUGGCCUACUCUCGAGUAGUUCAGAGCCACUGUCGCAUGGCCUUGGGAUAGGCCCAAUUUUCAAGAGGAGGCAGGUCCUGAAGAUGUUCAAGGAGCUGCCCAAGGGGACGAAGGCAGAUCUGGGGAUGUUGAAGACAUGGUAGAUUAGCUUGAUUUCCUCAUUAGAAGAGACUGAGCUCCCCGACCGUGAUCUUCUAAAUUUAUGAACUUGUCUUUAUCUUAUUUAUUGUUUUUAUAUUUUGUUAUGUUAUUUGUUGUGAUGAUUGUUUGAAAAAAAAAGAAAAAAAACUUAUGUGUGGUUUUUUUUUUUGCGCACACUUUGAUUUUUGAUGGUGCAGUCUUGGGUCAUAACUUUGCCCAGGAGUCAAACCUUUUUUCCUAAAACUAACGUGCUUUUGAAAGAAAUAACCACCAGUACCCUUCAAAAAAUUUGUAGAUCAAAACACAACAAAAAGGGUUUUGAAAAAAAAAUGUGUAUCUUGAGGAUGAGAAUAAUGAAGGACUUUCUCAAAUACCAAAAUGGACUCAGAUGUUUUGCAUGGACUUGAUAAAAAACAAUUGUUGAAACACUAAUUUGAUCUAAAUAUGGAUAUAGGCCCUAAGUUGUAUUGACUAUGUGACCACAAAUUUUAUAUUGAGUGUCCGCAUGGAUAUGUUCUAUGAUUGGUUUUGCAUGAAUUUCUAAUUGUCAUAACAUAUGAUUCAUGGAAGUGAUAUGGGCAUUCUUUCUUUCUAAGCCAUUGGCCAAACAGUUGUCCCAAUAUACAUUAUUUUUUGCUAUUUGCAAGCCUUUUGAGCCAGGCACUUGAUUUUUAUCAGAACACUAACCUAGGAUGAAAGUUUCCUACCUUACCUUAGGAUAGAAGAGAAUAGGUGUUUUCAAGGGAGAUUUCUAUCAUUUUUGUGGCUAGUCGUGGAUUUUUGAAGGUAGAUAUUUAUCAACAAAAAAAAGAAAAAAAAUAAAAAAGAAGAAAAAGAAAAAAAAUCAAUCAAAAAUGGAAAAAAGCAAAAAAAGAAAAUAGAAAAGAAAAACAAGUUCUUUGGAAUAAACAAGUAUCUAAACCAUGUACAGAGUUGUUGUAAAAAGUAAAAAGGAAGGAAAAUAAUAGUAACUUGGUCAAGACAUGAAGGGAUAGGAAAUGAUCACCCAUUUAAGUUACUAGCUAAAUCUUUAUGCCUGUUCUCCUACUCACACACAAAAAAAAAAAGACCAAAGCAACCAAAGCCAAAAUUUCCCACAAGUCCAACCUUAAAAAGACCUAUUGAUCCAUGAUGAUUAUCCACAUUAUCCUUGAUUUGAUGGGAAAUGACUUGCAAAAUCAAUUUAUGACAUAUCUAUGAUUUGGAAUUGAGAUGAAACACUUUCCUGUGUGAGGUUUUAUACACCUUUAAGCGGUUUUCCUCUAUUUGAUUGAAUCCAGUGUUUCUUCUAAUGCUUCUUUAGAAACGAAAUGGAAAA
Molecule: long non-coding RNA, 26653 nt
Filed under: Glycine max (soybean)
Lineage: Eukaryota; Viridiplantae; Streptophyta; Magnoliopsida; Fabales; Fabaceae
Description: long non-coding RNA (GMAX_LNC001957)
Source: RNAcentral